UACGUAGGGUGCAAGCGUUGUCCGGAAUUAUUGGGCGUAAAGAGCUCGUAGGCGGUCUGUCGCGUCGGCUGUGAAAACCCGGGGCUCAACCCCGGGCCUGCAGUCGAUACGGGCAGACUAGAGUGCGGUAGGGGAGACUGGAAUUCCUGGUGUAGCGGUGAAAUGCGCAGAUAUCAGGAGGAACACCGGUGGCGAAGGCGGAUCUCUGGGCCAUUACUGACGCUGAGGAGCGAAAGCGUGGGGAGCGAACAGG
This 253-nucleotide ribosomal RNA is filed under the name uncultured bacterium. Its description in RNAcentral is "partial 16S ribosomal RNA". It matches the Rfam family "Bacterial small subunit ribosomal RNA", at positions 524 to 776 of the family's 1533-position model. The record is from RNAcentral.